CCUACGGGUGGCAGCAGUGAGGAAUAUUGGUCAAUGGACGAGAGUCUGAACCAGCCAAGUAGCGUGAAGGAUGACUGCCCUAUGGGUUGUAAACUUCUUUUAUAUGGGAAUAAAAUGUUCCACGUGUGGGAUUUUGUCUGUACCAUAUGAAUAAGGAUCGGCUAACUCCGUGCCAGCAGCCGCGGUAAUACGGAGGAUCCGAGCGUUAUCCGGAUUUAUUGGGUUUAAAGGGAGCGUAGGUGGAUUGUUAAGUCAGUUGUGAAAGUUUGCGGCUCAACCGUAAAAUUGCAGUUGAAACUGGCAGUCUUGAGUACAGUAGAGGUGGGCGGAAUUCGUGGUGUAGCGGUGAAAUGCUUAGAUAUCACGAAGAACUCCGAUUGCGAAGGCAGUUCACUGGACUGCAACUGACACUGAGGCUCGAAAGUGUGGGUAUCAAACAGGAUUAGAUACCCUAGUAGUC
This 460-nucleotide ribosomal RNA is filed under the name uncultured bacterium. RNAcentral describes it as "partial 16S ribosomal RNA". It matches the Rfam family "Bacterial small subunit ribosomal RNA", at positions 338 to 795 of the family's 1533-position model. The record is from RNAcentral.